CUUGGUCAUUUAGAGGAAGUAAAAGUCGUAACAAGGUAACCGUAGGUGAACCUGCGGUUGGAUCAUUAAUAAAUUCUAGAGCAGAGCUGAUCGAGCAAUCGUGAUGCCUCUGUUUCUUAACAAUUUGUGAAUCGUUUAUUGUCUCUUGUGGUUGAUGCACUUCUUGCGCGCUUUACGGCCGCCUGACGUCUCUCCACACGUGAAUCUUAACAUUGUAAUAUAACCAUUUGUCUUGAAACUUUAAACCUAAAAAAUUUAAAAACAACUUUUGACAACGGAUCUCUAGGCUCUCGCAACGAUGAAGAACGCAGCGAAAUGCGAUAAGUAAUGUGAAUUGCAGAUUCCGUGAAUCAUUAAAUCUUUGAACGCACAUUGCGCCCUUUGGUAUUCCUCAGGGCAUGUCUGUUUGAGAAUCAGUUUAAACAUCAAGCCUUGGCUCUUGGGAAACCUAGAGUCACUUGGCUUGGACAUGAGUUGUGUUUGCGCAAGCUGACCUACUUUAAAUGCAUUUGUGGCCUCAAUAGUUGCUCACGAGUAUACGGAAGGCAUGACCAUUGAACGCAAGUUCUUAAUGAUUGCUGAUAAAGUAGCCUUGCUUGACAACUCUUGUAGAUCCAGAAUUUUAAACACAAAGUGCGGCUAAACCCCAAUCUUUAAGACUUGAUCUCAAAUCAGACAAGACUACCCGCUGAACUUAAGCAUAUCAAUAAGCGGAGGA
Molecule: ribosomal RNA, 718 nt
Filed under: uncultured fungus
Lineage: Eukaryota; Fungi
Description: eukaryotic LSU rRNA
Rfam family: 5.8S ribosomal RNA (bases 264-416)
Source: RNAcentral